Molecule: long non-coding RNA, 1492 nt
Organism: Pungitius pungitius (ninespine stickleback)
Lineage: Eukaryota; Metazoa; Chordata; Actinopteri; Perciformes; Gasterosteidae
Exons: 6
Source: RefSeq, a predicted model, not a curated record
UGUUUCCGUUAAUUUACACCCAAAUUUCAACAUGAUUUACCUGUUAUUUGUAAUAACUGCAGCUUACUGUAAAUUUUUAGGGAAUACAUGUUAAAUAACGCCUCAUGUAUGUUAUUUAACACCUCAUUGCUAAAUAACAUUCAUUUUUGUUAUUUAACAGCACAACCGAACAUUCAAAGAUGGCGGCCAGAGUUAGAUGGUCUGGUAUGGUUUUGUAAGUUGCAAAACAAUGACUAAUUCAAUAUUGUCGAUGUUGCAUACUAAGAAAUUAAAUAUUGUAUGCAUUCACUGAAUGAAGGUUAGACAGAACACCACGUGAUUUCUGUACUGCAAAUGUUAUAAAGAAUCAUCUUGCUUUUAUUACCAUAAUCAUACCUCCCGAUUUUAAACGAGACACCUAACAUUUAAUUGACUAACUGCGCUCCAAAUCUGUGUGUGUAGAUGUGUGUGUGUGUGUGUCUUUCUGAUCACGUUCGCGCCACUUUCUGAAAUAACAGGUUCAUACAGUAUUUUUUGCAUUCUGGCAAAGAGCGAGUAAGAAGGCAUUUGAACCUGCAACGCAACGGACACACGGCCAUUCCAUGUCGGAGAAUCGCUCUGGUUACAUCGAGGAAAACCACAACAAUCCGAUGCAGAUGCAGGGCACUAUCCCUGAUCACACUGCUGAUCAAGAAGAUCUCACUGCAUGUAUCCCUCAGAACCAGAUGUCUCAGGACUUGAUAUGCCAGUGCAGCUGACCUUGAGAGUUCACUAGCUUUACCUGCAACGCCUCGUCUGAUACUUCUUGGAGAAACAGGAAACCACUUCCAACGCUGGAUGCUCAGCAUUGAGGGCCAGAUUGUGGGCGAAGGGAUCCAGUCGACCUUUGUGACAGGGCUGGCGUCUUUUUUCUCCGGUUUUUAUAUCUUCAACCUACAGUACCAAGAGGAGGCAGCGUGCACACUUGAAUUCAUCCAGAGACGCUUUGUGGGUAUAAACCCAGAAAAGGGGACAAAGGCUGCAAAGGGGAAAAAAAGAACGGUAAAUUCACACAUCGCCAGCCUCUUGCGCAGACUGAUGGACUUCCAGUGGGAUUUCAUUUCAAAAAGUGGAGGUGUGUUCAGGUGCGUUCUGGGCAAUGUAGUGUAUUUUUCUGUGAUUGAUCCGAUCUAUAUGUGCCUACAUUUGUAAGUAUUUAACUUUCAGUGUUUCUAUUACAAUAAAAAAGUUAAUUUGAACAUGGAACUAUUCGUUUUCUUUCACUUAAGUGUUAUGUGAUGUAUUAUGCCUAUUCUUAUAAUAACUCAAGCUAGAAAUAUGUAUAUUACAAUCAAUGGUACACAUUACUAUGCUAAAAUAAUAAUCAAUACAUUUUAAAAGCAAUAUUUAAAGGAAACUAAAUAAAUGGUGAUUUAACAUGAAAAUAAUGGUAACCCUGCUGCCAGUAAAGUCCUGUUAAAAAACAUUACGGGUGUGCACUGUAAAAAAACAUUAACAGGAAUAAACCGUUAAA